Molecule: long non-coding RNA, 1438 nt
Filed under: Meleagris gallopavo (turkey)
Lineage: Eukaryota; Metazoa; Chordata; Aves; Galliformes; Phasianidae
Description: lncRNA (ENSMGAG00000021218.1)
Source: RNAcentral
AUGUUCCUGGUGUCCAGGUGCGUGGAGACGAUGGGCGACGUCAGCCGCCCAGCCACAUGCUCUUCUGAGGGCUGCAUGGCCGCCAACAGCAGGUCAGGCUCGUGCAGGGCCAGACACGGUACACGUCACUGGGGCACACCUUGGACACCAGAGGCACUGCAGGCAGCAGCACCCAUCAGUGGCGUGACAUCCAGACCUCAUCCCUAUCCCCCAUCCUCACCCCAAUCCUUGUUCCUGCUCACCCCAGCUGGUAAAUUCCCACUUCAUCUCCACGUAGAAGUCAGAGGCCUGAAGGAGACGAAGGGGUCACGAGGGCUAUGGUGCGGAGGUCCCUGCUGGCAGUCGGGGAGGCCUGUGGGGCCCUUUGGGGAGCUUGGGAAGGGGACUGAGGGGAAAAAACAGGGAGUCCUGGGGCAGAUGGGGUACCCAGGGUCUCUCCAGCUGCCUCUGCACCCCCUAAUUCCCAUGGAGGGACUCCAGUUCUGGAUGUGUCCAGCGAUGGGGGUGCUCAUGCUGGGUGCAUGCCUGGUACUAGGGAUACUCUGUGCCACAGGAGCUCGGUGAUGGAGGUGCCUGGUGCCAGGUGUGCCCAUCCUGGGGUAUACAGUGCCACAGGUGCCCGGUGCCAGGGGUGCCCACCCACUGCCUCAACACCCGGCCAUACCCGGCGCAGCUUGCUGAGCAGCUCGGGGAUGCCAGCAAGUCGCCGCGUUGCCCGCUGGUAGUCACGGUAUUGGAGCACCAGCUGCACUAUCUCGGGGUCCCCCGUGCUCACUGCCUCUUGCAGCACUGUGGGGCAGGGAGCUGCCAUCAGCCAGGCGCCGCCACCAUCCCUGCACCCCAAAUCUCCCCACACACCUGUCCAGCCAUUGGCGUUCUCCCGGCCCACAUUGGCGUUGUGCCGCAGCAGCACCCGCACCGACUCCAGGUGGCCCAGGGAUACGGCCAGCUCCAGCGGGGUCCGCCCACGGGGGUCCGUCAACUCCACGUCGUGCUGGGGCACGCACACCGUCACCCCGGCCACCCCCAGUCCGGUGCCAGCCGCGUGCCCAUGCUCUCCUACGCCCUCGCAGACCCCGACUACAGGUCCUCCUGUCCCUCAGCGCCCCUACUUUUUCCCAACCCCUAACCCCCCCGCACCACGUCCCAGUGCCCCCAGUUCCUCCCUCCGGUCUCCACGUCCCCUGUUCUCCCCCUCGCUCUCUCCUUUCCCUGCACCCACUGCGCUGCCGCGCCAGCGCUCCAGAGACCCUAUUUCCCUACCUCCCCAGUAUCACCCGUACUGCCGGCGCCCCCAUUUCCUCCCGGUCCCUGUACCGCUGCUGCCCGCAUCCCCCGCCGUGCCAUGCCCGUACCCCCCCCGCACCCGGCGCGCACCGUGCCGGAGCGCAGCGCACUGUCCAGCGCCUGGUGCCGGUUGUGCCAUACGAGGCGGUGC